Molecule: long non-coding RNA, 1570 nt
Filed under: Cotesia glomerata
Lineage: Eukaryota; Metazoa; Arthropoda; Insecta; Hymenoptera; Braconidae
Description: uncharacterized LOC123275442
Source: RNAcentral
CAGUAAAGAAGAGAAAAACAAAUAACAGAAUGACGCUAUCAGAGGUUAAUAAAGAGCAGCGCUGGCGACACGUCGUGACCUGUACACUCUUUUUCCACAACAACAUCCACCAUCUGCGAGCAUCACCAUCAGAGGUCUACUAUUACUAUUACUGCGACUAUACGUAACGACUGGGAUGAUAACUACUACUGCUGCUGAAUAGAGAAAAUCGGCAACAGCAAGAACAAAAAAAAGUAACUAUAGACGAGUCGUUCAACAAUGACAUUGUUCUAAAUCUCCAUGAAAGACGUUGGUCAUUCACCGCGCACACAAUAGAAGCUUUGGCAUAUUGCUCAAGUCUGGGGCAAAAAAUAGCAAAACAAAGAGUAAUAAUCGAGACAAGAGGAAGAUGAAAAAAUGAAAAAAGAAUUAGUGACUCUGGUUAGUCGAGAAUCGGUAAUAGUGGUGUCGCCAAAGUAAAGCGGAAUUGGGUGCACAGUACGCUGGGAUAAGUCCAUUUAGUGUAGCAGCAGCAUAGAAGCGAGCUGGAGAGCAUAUUUGAGGUCUCAGACGAGCGAUUGUAGACUCGUCAGUUGCAACAGCUUCAUAGUAUUAUAGCCCACAGAAUUCAUGCUGUAUAGACGGCAAGGCAGGUCAACAGAGAAUACGACGCAAGUGCCAACACGUACACGUACAUCAAUAUCAACACCAACAGCAUCAGCCUCAGCCCCGUCAGCAGCUUCAGUAGCAUCGGCAGCAGCGCAAGAGAUGCAGGAGAAGUACCAGUUAGUGAACAGACGCGAGAGUCGACGAGAGAACCAGAGAAGAGCUUCUCUUGAUGCACUAUAGCUCCAGCGUGCAAGUUUGCCAGUACAGUGUACAGUAGGGGCAAUAGAGGGCAACGCACCCAGUCAGCCUUGGCAUGAAUUGAGUCUAGCAAUGCACAACUCAAGUUAGUGAAAACGUCAGACACGCUCUGGAAUAUGAUUUUUGACACUAAGCCGGCUGCUCUUGCUAGUCUACUACUACUGUUCUAUCGUAUCUUCUACUACAUGCUAGCGAAUUACGUGCACGGUAGACAAUUCUCGCUACUGUGUGUGUGCAACAAUCUCAAUUCACUAGCUCCUAAAAACAAUUUUCUGUUUCUUCUUUUCAUUUUUUAUACUUUACUUUCGUACUUUUACACUCACCUCCGUAUCCUUAUUUCUUCACGCCCUAUAUAUCUCUUGUGUUACUAUUGAUAUUUUGCACGCCUCAUAAGCGAAGCGUUGAGGUUGUGCUCUACUCUCGACAUUUCAAAAAAAGCAGUUUUCUCGAAACUGAAAUUGAUUUUUUGUUAUUUAUAUCGCACUUACAGAUUAAUAUGAGUACACUUAUAUCAAGUCAAAUAAUUUGUCAGGCACAUAAAAUUUAUUUCAAUAACAAUUUUUUUGUUUAACAUAGUAAAUAAUAACAUUAAGCAUAAUCUUUUCUGGACGUCCGUGUAUGGAUGGGUGUAUGUGGCAGGGAAAUUGGUCGAAAAAAUGAUCGUACCGGAAUAAUUUUUUUUUUAUUAUCUAAAGUAACACACGACGAAUUUUCAUAAUUAAUA